Molecule: long non-coding RNA, 1119 nt
Filed under: Lonchura striata (white-rumped munia)
Lineage: Eukaryota; Metazoa; Chordata; Aves; Passeriformes; Estrildidae
Description: domestica (Bengalese finch) lncRNA (ENSLSDG00000015206.1)
Source: RNAcentral
CAGCAACAAGCAUUGACAAAAUAAUAUUGCACGUGAAUUCUAUUACACAUCUGUCCAUUUUAGCAUGUAAAGCAGCUGAAUCAGUAGCAGAUAAUGUGCUACUUUCAGGAAUACAGAAAAACAUGCAGUAAUUUUCGAUCUGGAUGUGUCUGUCUCUGUAUUCUUCAGUUACAUCGAAGAACAAGUCCCAGUCACCUCAUUACUAUGAGAUAAUGGAAUUUGAUCCCUUGGCUCCCACUGAAGCUAUUUAUGAAGAAAUUGAUGUUGUGCUGAAGACAGAAGUUAAAAAGAACACAGACUGAACGUGGGGGUGGAAUCCUUUCCUGAACACUCUCCAGUGCUGGUCCUGUGCAGUGCUUCCUGUAACUACAAGUGAAUAACAGAAGAGGUUUUGCAUUUUGACACAAUAAUUAGUGUUGGAGUACUAAGCUGUGUGCAAGUUGAGGAGUUACUUGGCUCCACAUCUUGACAAUUUGUCCUAAAUGUUCAGCUGUGUGUUCUUCAAGGUCACUUGCAUUGCUAUUUUAAAUUAUUUUGGGUGCCUGUAAAAUGUGACUUCCAAAUUCACCUGUGUCUGAAGUGACACUUGACACCUGGUACAAGUCUAAAAAGACACAUUACAUUCACAGAAACUGCAGAAUCCAGUUUCUUUUGGCCUCAGUGCAAUGUUAAUCUCCCUAGAAAUCUGUAAGGGGGUUUUGAGAUAUAUUUCUUUUUCCUAAAUUUGGCCUCUUAAUAGAUGUCUGAAGAUGUGCAGUGUUACUUUCCUACAUCCUUAAUACAGAUUUUUCCUUUAUUACUUUCUUCCUAAAAACCCACAGUAUAGUUGGGUUUUGUCUUGGAAAGAACCUAAGCUGGGACACAAAGUGGUGUCAUCAAUUUAACGGGGAAAAAAACUGCUUGUUCCUAUGUUGUUGUUGUUUUUAUUUACUCAGUAAAUAUUGGAGGGUGAUCAAUUGUUUCUUUCAGUAUUCCUGCCCUGCAGAUUGUUCUGGUGAAGGAAAAAUUAAUCAUCUACAAUGCAGAUGAGCAAUAGCUACCCAUUUACUUUAAUUAAGUAGUUCAAUCCUGUUAAUAACUGUUUUAUCUUUUAAUAAGUGCCUUAUCUAUUUUAAUGCU